Long non-coding RNA from Leptonychotes weddellii (Weddell seal), 1546 nucleotides. RefSeq lists it as uncharacterized. The record is from RefSeq and is a predicted model, not a curated record. NCBI's taxonomy places the organism in Eukaryota, Metazoa, Chordata, Mammalia, Carnivora, Phocidae.
AGGCUUCUCAUCCGCAUCCCCGAUUAGUCAUCCCCGAGUGACAUCUGAUAUAUGCGCCCCGGCUCGCUCCGGGGACAGGGCAGCGCGGCUGAUGAUGGAGGGGAGGAAAGGCCGCUCCAGCCGCCUCCGAUUCUUGCUGGAACCCGAGUUUAUGCUGAGUCAAGGAAACCUACUGUGAAAAGUGCCGGGGAAAGACAAGUCCCUUUUUCUAGACAAAUCUUAGAUGCUUCUGGGCUGGGAGCGGGGAGGCCGGCGAGGGGGAGGGGAGACUGAUCGGCGGGUGACUGGCAGGCAACAGGCCAUUCAAGGCACGCUUCGGAUUUGGGGGGAUUGCUGUUAGAGGUGGAGUGUGCUCCCUCCUGUUUAAAGUAUGUAGUUAUCACAGCAGUUACCCUUCCCAGUUUCUCCCGUCUGGAGGGUGGCCCCCCCCCCGGGGGGGGGCAGCCCUGCCUCCCCACCCAGGCCUCCAGAAUCCCAGUUGCGCCCAUGAAUGUUGGAGAACACAGGUGUCCUGGCGGCCGGGUGGCGAAGCCCAGGGUCGACACUAGAUGGGCUCUUACUACACCAGGUUUGGGGGAAUGCAGAGUCAUGGUCUUUGAUCUUUGCAUAAUCCAGUCAAGAUUUGUCCAAUUCGAGAGUCAACCCAGUGGAAAUCAACUGGGGGCUGAAUCAGACUCCUGAUCAUACCUUGAGCAAGCCCUUGCUUCGCAAGCACACUCAUUCCAGCAAAGGCACAACUUAAUUGUGAGGCAGGAAGAAAAGAAAGGAGACAAGGUGUUUCUUAACAGUUACCAAGUGAGGGGAAGGCCAACUUGUUGCUUUCACUGGCAACACUUAACUCCGAAAGCAAUUUCCUCACUUAAAAGAAAAACAAAUGGAGUCGGGUGGUAGGCUUUUGAAAGGAGGAGCAGAGAGUUCGGGUUUGUGGAAACCUGGCUUUAUUUUCCUGGAGGGCCUUGUUAAGACACAUUUGCCUUGAGAUAAAAGGUUUUCUUUUGGGACAAUCCCAAAAUGACUUUGCCUGAUUCAAUUAAGCAAGGCCUAAUGAAAGAGAAUUCCUGCUUGGAGAUAUGCAUCAUCCCACCAGACUCAGGCAGUGGGAAGCUGGUAGAGUCUUGGUCUAUGAACUUUGAACCGUAUGGAGGAAGCUUUGCUCACCAGUCAAGUCCCCUGGUCCCCGCAUGAAGAUACCUGCUUGGGUCUCUAGACAGGAUGACUCCCCAGGGAUGCUGGCAGCUGGAAAUCCAGUUACCAGAAAAUGUUUUGUAAAUAAGGAUCGAAACUUCUUCCAUUGAUGGUCCAGAUAUGUCCGAAGUUCCGAGUUAACCUGACGGCUCAGACGCAGACAGGCAUAGCCACGCAUCCUCAAGAGGAGCGGUGCUCUUUCUGGCAAAUACACCACCCCUCCCCCUAAAGAAAAACAGUCUAAUUAUGCAGUGUGACUGUCAACCUUAAUCAGAUUAUACAGAAAGUAUUCAACUCCAUUUCAUUUUAUGGCACAAAUAAAGCCGAAGGGGAGGCGAGAGUUUCUGGCUUCCCCUAAAAU